UAGGAUAUAGCUGGUUUUCUGCGAAAUCUGUUUUAGCAGACUGUUUAAGAUAUUAUUAUUAAUAGGUAUAGCACUGAAUAUCUCAUUAAAAUAUGUGGGGAGUAUGAAAGUAUUUUCCUUAGGUAUUUAAUCUCAGAAUGAUUAAUAAGUGUAUUAAAUAGUCGGACUAUAUGCGAUAAGGUGUAUAGUCAAGAGGGAAACAGCCCAGAACA
Molecule: ribosomal RNA, 212 nt
Filed under: Pneumocystis sp.
Lineage: Eukaryota; Fungi; Ascomycota; Pneumocystomycetes; Pneumocystales; Pneumocystaceae
Description: partial large subunit ribosomal RNA
Rfam family: Bacterial large subunit ribosomal RNA
Source: RNAcentral